CAGCAAGUAGUUUAUAUUAAAAUAUAAGUUUUGGAGAUUUAAGAUGGAUUAUAUUAUCUUUUGCUGA
This 67-nucleotide transfer RNA is filed under the name Mahanarva spectabilis. RNAcentral's name for it is "tRNA-Pro". The record is from RNAcentral. Lineage: Eukaryota; Metazoa; Arthropoda; Insecta; Hemiptera; Cercopidae.